UGCAAUCCGCUGACGACCGGCGCACGGGUGCGUAACGCGUAUACAAUCUGCCUUUUGCUGAGGAAUAGCCCAGAGAAAUUUGGAUUAAUGCCUCAUGGUAUAUAUGAGUGGCAUCACUUAUAUAUUAAAGGAUACGGCAAAAGAUGAGUAUGCGUUCUAUUAGCUGGAUGGUGUGGUAACGGCACACCAUGGCAACGAUAGAUAGGGGCCCUGAGAGGGGGAUCCCCCACACUGGUACUGAGACACGGACCAGACUCCUACGGGAGGCAGCAGUGAGGAAUAUUGGGCAAUGGAGGGAACUCUGACCCAGCCAUGCCGCGUGCAGGAAGACUGCCCUAUGGGUUGUAAACUGCUUUUAUACAGGAAGAAACACUCCUUCGUGCAAGGAGCUUGACGGUACUGUAAGAAUAAGGAUCGGCUAACUCCGUGCCAGCAGCCGCGGUAAUACGGAGGAUCCAAGCGUUAUCCGGAAUUAUUGGGUUUAAAGGGUCCGUAGGUUGUUAACUAAGUCAGAGGUGAAAUCCUGCAGCUCAACUGUAGAAUUGCCUUUGAAACUGGUUAACUUGAGUCAUUAUGAAGUGGUUAGAAUGUGUAGUGUAGCGGUGAAAUGCAUAGAUAUUACACAGAAUACCGAUUGCGAAGGCAGAUCACUAAUAAUGUACUGACACUGAUGGACGAAAGCGUGGGUAGCGAACAGGAUUAGAUACCCUGGUAGUCCACGCCGUAAACGAUGGUCACUAGCUGUGUGGACUUUACGUCUGCGUGGCUAAGCGAAAGUGAUAAGUGACCCACCUGGGGAGUACGUUCGCAAGAAUGAAACUCAAAGGAAUUGACGGGGGCCCGCACAAGC
RNAcentral lists this ribosomal RNA (850 nucleotides) under uncultured marine organism. RNAcentral's name for it is "SSU rRNA". It matches the Rfam family "Bacterial small subunit ribosomal RNA", at positions 79 to 930 of the family's 1533-position model. The record is from RNAcentral.